Long non-coding RNA from Octodon degus (degu), 556 nucleotides. RefSeq lists it as uncharacterized. The transcript has 3 exons. NCBI's taxonomy places the organism in Eukaryota, Metazoa, Chordata, Mammalia, Rodentia, Octodontidae. The record is from RefSeq and is a predicted model, not a curated record.
GGAGAGAAGGUGGUCUGGAAGCACUGCUGGUUGGAUCGGUAUUCGUGGGAAUCCGGAGGGAGAAGAGCGAGAAAGGAAAGAAGGAGCAGGAGGAAAACAGAAGACAAGAAAGAGUCGAUUUUCAUGCCAAUCAUUGGAACAAAUAGCUAACAUUUAACGUUUACACCCGCGCUGGCGGCGCCCUGGCGCUGCUCGGACCUGGAGCCGGGCUAAAAUGUCCCGAAAGCCUUUGGAGAGAACGAGUUUCCAGCUAUCAGAAACUAGUCUGCACUUGUACCGGGGGUCUCAUUGUCCUGCUCUGGAUGGCUAACAGCUGCCCUGCAGUGUGCAGCCCCACACCUUCUGCAUGCACCUUUCCUCUGCCCCAUCUGCCUAUCCAGGUCGCUUGGAAUCAUCGCAGACCCUCGGGGCCUUGGGAACCCGGGAAUGGCAUCACACGCCACCAGAGCACCAGUGUAGGCCUGAGCAAAGAGGUUCCAGAGUCCCCAUUCUGGCAACCAGCUCCCCAGCCCACUUGGACAUCCCCUGAAUGAAGGUGCCUGCCUCUCCACUUCUA